Molecule: long non-coding RNA, 559 nt
Organism: Chelonia mydas (Green sea turtle)
Lineage: Eukaryota; Metazoa; Chordata; Testudines; Cheloniidae
Exons: 2
Source: RefSeq, a predicted model, not a curated record
GGCUAGACUGCCUGUGUUGACACAGGUGUGCUGUGGGGGUCUUCCCCCUUAAUGAGCCCAUCUAUGAGCCUGGCAGAACAGCAGUUACACAUUUGGGGGUAUGGCAAGGCUGCUAUGGCCCAGAUCCUCAAAGGGAUGAAACCCGCAAGAGGGGGCUGUAGCAACACCACAGCACAUGGAUCCUUUCGGAUCCCACACGCGGACUGGCUUUCACGGCACUGCCAAACCCACCCGGUCCCAGCUCCGGCCUCCAGCAGGGCCUGCAGCCCUGUCAACGCACCCAUCUGAGUUUGUUGCUAAAAAGAGACACUCCCUGCCCCACUUCCCUGCCCUUCCCUGGGACAGCAGCGGGGCUGGGGCACCCCGACAGCCAGGGUGAGGACAGCGGGGCUCCGGUGAUCUGAGGGUGUGUCACCCAGGCACUCUGCUUUAUAACCAUAUAUGUAGAGAAUUACGGUACCUGACAUGAGAAUUUCUAUGGGUGUUUGCUGUGUUUGAUCUAGUAUCUUGGCAUUAGUCAAUUUGUUCUAAUAUCCUGGCACAAAGGCAUGUGCAUUAG